CGUAGGUGAACCUGCGGAGGGAUCAUU
RNAcentral lists this ribosomal RNA (27 nucleotides) under Verticillium dahliae. RNAcentral's name for it is "partial 18S ribosomal RNA". Lineage: Eukaryota; Fungi; Ascomycota; Sordariomycetes; Glomerellales; Plectosphaerellaceae. The record is from RNAcentral.